AAAAUACGAAAAGUAAUAUGAAUUGCAGAAACGAAUCAUCGAAUCUUUGAACGCACAUUGCGCCCCUUGGUAUUCCAUGGGGCAUGCCUGUUCGAGCGUCAUCUACACCCUCAAGCUCUGCUUGGUGUUGGGCGUCUUUGUCCCGCCUCCGCGCGCGGACUCGCCCCAAAUUCAUUGGCAGCGGUCCUUGCCUCCUCUCGCGCAGCACAUUGCGCUUCUCGAGGUGUUGCGGCCCGCGUCCAGAAAGCAAUCGUUACCGUCUUUGACCUCGGAUCAGGUAGGGAUACCCGCUGAACUUAAGC
Molecule: unclassified non-coding RNA, 302 nt
Filed under: plant metagenome
Description: partial contains 5.8S ribosomal RNA, internal transcribed spacer 2, and large subunit ribosomal RNA
Rfam family: 5.8S ribosomal RNA (bases 1-101)
Source: RNAcentral